CAAUGAGUUAAAGAGUGUUUGAUCUCUUUAUAUGAUUUUGAGUAAUUCUCUCCUCAUAAGUUAGCUUUUGAGGUUGAGUUAGGUACAAGACAUUUCUUUAUCAUGAAUGACAUAUUUAAGAUUUUUCCUGUAAUCAAUAUCCACAAAAACAAACAACUCAACAAAAACUAACAAUCAAAAUUUUUUUUUUAACAUAAAAAUUCAAUCUUUAAUUAACUAAACUUCAAAGAAAGUAUUUUUUUUUCUUAAGUGCGAGAGAAGAAAGGAGAAAAAUAGCAGCGGAUCAAUCUGUAUUUGGGCCAGCUUUGGCCGGUGGCAUCGCUGGUGGCAGAGACGAUAGUGGAGGCGGCGGGAAACGAUAGUUGCGGCUGGGAUUGGAGAAGUAGAGUAAUUUUAGGGUUGAUAGGGUAAAAUAAAGAGAAAAUAUGAGGAAUUAAUAAGGACCGUGUGAUCAGAAGUUGUGGAUGGCUGAGAUUAAAAUUAGAAUUUAGGCCAGAUUGAGGAAUACAAUUUCUUCAUUUCAGCUCAUUUUGUGUAGUAUGUGUUAAGCUCUCCUGAUAGGUGCUGCACGUGUCACUGGAACACAGCUUCAGAUGAGUGACAAAGUGUGCAUUUUACUUUUGAAGUAUUUCGUUUUGAGAUUUCUUCAGCGGAUGUGCAAACCAGUUUUAAUAUUCAUCCCAGGUGAGUUUCAAUUUGUUACUAUUGACAUGUUCCUUUGCAAGGCUAUUACUUGCAAGUGGGUUGUUCAUAUGAUCAUUAUGCAUGUUAAGUGUUUGAUGAAAAUCCUCUCUCAUAAAGUGUCGGCUGGAGAACUUUAUUUUGCUUCCGUGUUUCCCAGAUCGUUAUCGUUUUCAUCUCAGAAUUGAUGAUGUUGUGAGAAGGAUCUUAAGAGUCAAAUUCACCUUGGGCCUUUUUGAGAAUCCUUUGGCUGAUUAUAGAUUAGUUAAACACAUCGGAAGCCAGACACAGAGAGAUUUGGCUAGAGAAGCAGUUAGAAAAUCACUUGUGGUACUGAAGAAUGGUGCAAAUGUUGAUAAGCCUAUGCUACCGUUGCCUAAAAACGGCAUCAAGAAUAUUAGUUGCUGGAAGUCAUGCAAAUAAUUUGGGCUAUCAAUGUGGUGGUUGGACAAUUACUUGGCAAGGAGUUGAUGGAAAUACUUAAAUUACAAUUGACAUAUUCCUUCUACUAGGCUUCCUUCAACAGAUUUUACAUGAGGAUGAAUUUACUGUUUCCUUCUUUAUUCUCUACUUCGGAUUAACUUCAUUCUUUAGUUCAUGGUUCUUGUUUCUGAUU
This is an RNA transcript of Capsicum annuum, 1297 nucleotides long. It is a transcript of the gene named beta-glucosidase BoGH3B, with no coding region annotated. The record is from RefSeq and is a predicted model, not a curated record. The transcript has 3 exons. NCBI's taxonomy places the organism in Eukaryota, Viridiplantae, Streptophyta, Magnoliopsida, Solanales, Solanaceae.